This 254-nucleotide ribosomal RNA is filed under the name uncultured bacterium. Its description in RNAcentral is "partial 16S ribosomal RNA". It matches the Rfam family "Bacterial small subunit ribosomal RNA", at positions 524 to 776 of the family's 1533-position model. The record is from RNAcentral.
AACGUAGGAGGCGAGCGUUAUCCGGAUUUACUGGGCGUAAAGCGCGCGUAGGCGGUUGGUUAAGUCGGAUGUGAAAGCCCCUGGCUCAACUAGGGGAGGCCAUUCGAUACUGAUCGGCUUGAGGGUGAGAGAGGGGAGUGGAAUUCCCGGUGUAGCGGUGGAAUGCGUAGAGAUCGGGAGGAACACCAGUGGCGAAAGCGGCUCCCUGGUUCACCCCUGACGCUGAGUGCGCGACAGCGUGGGGAGCAAACGGG